Lathyrus oleraceus (garden pea) is the source of this 105-nucleotide small nucleolar RNA. The record is from RefSeq and is a predicted model, not a curated record. Lineage: Eukaryota; Viridiplantae; Streptophyta; Magnoliopsida; Fabales; Fabaceae.
AAGCCCGUGGAAAGGGCACAAUCUUAACAAGUCCUUAUAACGCUCCCACGCAUUAGACAAAUUCCCCCUUUUCAUGCCUAAAAUUAUUAAUCUCAUUCCUAACUU